GACGAACGCUGGCGGCGUGCUUAACACAUGCAAGUCGAACGGAAAGGCCCUGCUUUUGUGGGGUGCUCGAGUGGCGAACGGGUGAGUAACACGUGAGUAACCUGCCCUUGACUUUGGGAUAACUUCAGGAAACUGGGGCUAAUACCGGAUAGGAGCUCCUGCUGCAUGGUGGGGGUUGGAAAGUUUCGGCGGUUGGGGAUGGACUCGCGGCUUAUCAGCUUGUUGGUGGGGUAGUGGCUUACCAAGGCUUUGACGGGUAGCCGGCCUGAGAGGGUGACCGGCCACAUUGGGACUGAGAUACGGCCCAGACUCCUACGGGAGGCAGCAGUGGGGAAUAUUGCACAAUGGGCGGAAGCCUGAUGCAGCAACGCCGCGUGCGGGAUGACGGCCUUCGGGUUGUAAACCGCUUUCGCAUGUGCCGAAGCGUGAGUGACGGUAAUGGGUAAAGAAGCACCGGCUAACUACGUG
This 468-nucleotide ribosomal RNA is filed under the name uncultured bacterium. RNAcentral describes it as "partial 16S ribosomal RNA". It matches the Rfam family "Bacterial small subunit ribosomal RNA", at positions 28 to 507 of the family's 1533-position model. The record is from RNAcentral.